AUUGAACGCUGGCGGCAGGCCUAACACAUGCAAGUCGAGCGGAUGAAGGGAGCUUGCUCCUGGAUUCAGCGGCGGACGGGUAAGUAAUGCCUAGGAAUCUGCCUGGUAGUGGGGGAUAACGUCCGGAAACGGGCGCUAAUACCGCAUACGUCCUGAGGGAGAAAGUGGGGGAUCUUCGGACCUCACGCUAUCAGAUGAGCCUAGGUCGGAUUAGCUAGUUGGUGGGGUAAAGGCCUACCAAGGCGGCGAUCCGUAACUGGUCUGAGAGGAUGAUCAGUCACACUGGAACUGAGACACGGUCCAGACUCCUACGGGAGGCAGCAGUGGGGAAUAUUGGACAAUGGGCGAAAGCCUGAUCCAGCCAUGCCGCGUGUGUGAAGAAGGUCUUCGGAUUGUAAAGCACUUUAAGUUGGGAGGAAGGGCAGUAAGUUAAUACCUUGCUGUUUUGACGUUACCAACAGAAUAAGCACCGGCUAACUUCGUG
RNAcentral lists this ribosomal RNA (484 nucleotides) under uncultured bacterium. RNAcentral describes it as "partial 16S ribosomal RNA". It matches the Rfam family "Bacterial small subunit ribosomal RNA", at positions 30 to 507 of the family's 1533-position model. The record is from RNAcentral.